Trichoplusia ni (cabbage looper) is the source of this 528-nucleotide long non-coding RNA. RefSeq lists it as uncharacterized. The transcript is spliced from 3 exons. NCBI's taxonomy places the organism in Eukaryota, Metazoa, Arthropoda, Insecta, Lepidoptera, Noctuidae. The record is from RefSeq and is a predicted model, not a curated record.
AGAAAUAUUGGCUGAGAUUGAACUGUCAAGGCAAAAGAGAUGUAUAGUUAUACAAAAGCAGUCAAGUGGAGUUUCUGAUGCUGAGGGUACCGAAGAUGAAGACUAUGACUAUAGGAAGCCGCAGCCAAAACUGCCCAAGCCAGAUCGAUUUCAAAACACGCCAGUUAAGAAUAGUGAUUUUGAAACUCUUUCACCGUCCUUGAAGUACAGGAAGAUCCCAAGAGCGAUGUAUCGAAGGAUAAGGACGAAAAAUCGAUUUCAAUAAGCAAUUUGAAAUAUGGUUAAGCUGAUGAAACUACAGACGAAGAAUUUUACGACACAAGACCCAUAAACGACUACGAGUAAAAUUUCCUAUAUCAAAAACUGCUGAGCUGAUUUUGAAGAAACUUGCGGUAACGAAACGGAAUUAAUUACUUUUUUAUAUUUUUAAUGUGUUAAUAACCUGUACUUUGGAUAUUAAGGUUAAUUUUCAAGCGACCAUGUAUAAUUAAACACCUAGCACCUUGCUUGGGCUAACCUGUGAGUAAA